Polyodon spathula (Mississippi paddlefish) is the source of this 842-nucleotide long non-coding RNA. RefSeq lists it as uncharacterized. NCBI's taxonomy places the organism in Eukaryota, Metazoa, Chordata, Actinopteri, Acipenseriformes, Polyodontidae. The record is from RefSeq and is a predicted model, not a curated record. The transcript is spliced from 2 exons.
UGUUUAUUUGCUGUACUUUCUAAAUUACUAUAUAUAUAUAGUGUGUGAGUCUGUGUUAGUUGAGGGUAAAUGUUCAAGGUGUUAGUUGAGGGUAAAUGUUCAAGGUGUUAGUUGAGGGUAAAUGUUCAAGGUGUUAGUUGAGGGUAAAUGUUCAAGGUGUUAGUUGAGGGUAAAUGUUCAAGGUGUUAGUUGAGGGUAAAUGUUCAAGACUCCAUUGCCCUUGAAUUUGACUUGGAUAGAGAACUGUUGAAGUACAUUAAUGCCGGUAUCUUACGGAAAAUGCAUUCAACUUAAUAUUUUAUAAUCCUUAUUAUUUUUAAAAUCCAGAUGUGUCGGCUUCAUCCUGUUGCUUUUUAGUAACUAUUUCAAAUACGCAGCAUUAGGUAGCAAUGGGUCUCUGAGGCGGUUUUACCCACCCGUCAUUAAUUGUACCUUAUUUUUACACCGAUGUGGGUGUAUUGGGUGCUAGUUGUGUAGAUUUUAUUAAAGAAAACGAACCCUGUGAAUCGCGGAUCGAGCCGGGCCUCCUGUUUUGCUGCGGUCCGGAGCCGGUGUGUGUUGUGUUUUCGCGGCCUGGAGGUGCAGGCCUCCUCGUGGAGGGCGAAGAAGGACAAGCCUGCGUGUUGCGUGCGGACGCUGCGGGUGACGGACGCGCUCGGGGGGGAGGGGGGUUAGGUGUUCGUGAUCGACUGAAGCAGGAAUUGUAACCGGCCAGGUCCGCGUUCAGGGAUUGUAAAUCUGUGAAGGACGAGUCCUUGGGUUUAAACCGCCUCUAUCCUGUGACCCCAAAACCAUGUUAAAGGCCUCAACAAACCAGCUUCUGAUUGGCUGAAGGUGAUCUC